This 900-nucleotide ribosomal RNA is filed under the name Triticum aestivum (bread wheat). RNAcentral's name for it is "partial small subunit ribosomal RNA". The record is from RNAcentral. Lineage: Eukaryota; Viridiplantae; Streptophyta; Magnoliopsida; Poales; Poaceae.
AUGGAGGUCGCCGUAAAGAGGGUGUCUCAUGAAUCAAGGCAAGGGAUGAAGGAGUUCGUCGCCGAGGUCGCAAGCAUCGGACGGCUACGGCACCGGAACCUCGUGCCGUUGCUUGGCUAUUGCCGGCGCAAAGGGGAACUUCUCCUGGUUUACGAUUACAUGCCAAACGGAAGCCUUGAUAAAUACUUGUAUGAUGCAUCCUCAGCAGGUACACUGGACUGGCCUCAAAGAUUUCACAUAAUCAGAGGUGUGGCUUCUGGGUUAUUGUAUCUCCAUGAUGAGGAUUGGGAGCAGGUUGUCAUCCACCGAGAUGUGAAGGCAAGCAAUAUUCUUCUAGACAGCGAGAUGAAUGGGCGGUUAGGGGAUUUCGGCCUUGCAAGGCUGUACGAUCAUGGGACGGACGCCCAUACAACGCAUGUGGUUGGCACCAUGGGCUACCUAGCUCCUGAGCUUGGACACACCGGCAAGGCAACCCCGUCGACCGAUGUGUUCGCCUUCGAUGCAUUCCUUCUGGAAAUCACGUGUGGGCGGAGGCCAAUCGAGCAAAACGAGCACGACAACCGCAUCGUGCUCGUGGAUUGGGUGAUCGAGCAAUGGCGCAAGGGUUUGAUCAUUGGCGCGGUGGAUACGAGGAUUCCAAGUGGGUUUAGUCCGGACAUGGUCUCGCUGGUGCUGAAACUUGCGUUGUUAUGCUCGCACCCAUUGCCUAAUGGAAGGCCAACCAUGCGGCAGGUCAUGCAGUACCUCGACGGCGACAUGGUCCUCCCGGACUUGUCGUCCGCGUACCUCAGUUUCACCAUGCUGGAGCGGAUGUAUGAUGGGGACUUCAACCAGAAAAUGUUGCCAUACGAAUCAUCGACGAGCAUGGGUGCAGUUUCUGAUAUAUCUGGAGGGAGGUGA